This 32-nucleotide non-coding RNA is filed under the name Mus musculus (house mouse). Lineage: Eukaryota; Metazoa; Chordata; Mammalia; Rodentia; Muridae. The record is from RNAcentral.
UGCAAAACUUGCAGGUGUUUCUGUGUGACCUC